Cloeon dipterum is the source of this 1591-nucleotide RNA transcript. RefSeq lists it as uncharacterized. The transcript is spliced from 7 exons. Lineage: Eukaryota; Metazoa; Arthropoda; Insecta; Ephemeroptera; Baetidae. The record is from RefSeq and is a predicted model, not a curated record.
CAAGCUGAUUGAGCCGGCGGCCGUGUUUUUCUCGCGAAUUGCGCACAUUUGUCACGUUUUUCGCGUUUUGCAGACGAUUGGCGGGGAUGCAGCGGCUGUUGCACUCGUCGGCGCCGCUGUCGGCGCCGCCAGAAAAGGCCACGACCGGCAAGCUGCGGAAAAAGAGCGGCGACACGCUGAGCAAGUGCAGAAAAAAGGCGCUCGAGAACUGCGGAAAACUCGUCGCCAAGGUGGUACCGUGAGGCGCCAGGUCUACUUAGAAUCUCAAAGGUUCGACUGGAGGGCCGUGGAAAGUAUUAGCGGAGGGUGCAGGUGGUGCUGUCGGCCCAGGUCCAGUCCCAGUCCCAGGUCGACGUCGGGAAGGUUUUUAAAAAAACCAACAAAACCAAUUUUCGGCUCUCCAAGUAAUCGAAAACCGGUGUUAAAUUAGAAAAUAAAGAGCUUUUUGAAACAAAAUUUAAAAUAUCGACCCUGAAAAAAAUAUUUUCUUUGCAGACACCUGUUGCGUGAGGAGCUCGCUGAGCUGACGAGGGUUGCCGAUUAUUGGCAGAAGCAGGAGGCGCUGAGAAAAUGAUACCCUGGGCAGGGAAUCGCAGGUGGAGCAGCAGCACCGCCACUCCACCUUCGAGCGUUGAGUCGCACUCUCGUGGACCCUGUGAGCAUCCACCUAAUGUCUGCGGCGCCGGCUGGCAUGCACACAUACCUCCGGCGACGGCGCCGUUCCUCGCCAAGUGGCGCCGCGCCCACGAGCAGCUUGCGGGCCCGCCCGGCGCACCAAGCGGCCCACGUCGCUACUGGUGGCCGCCGGCGGCCAGCAGGCCCAAGUACUCGAGCACCGAGUCGAUGGCCACGAGCAGCAGCAGCAGCAUGUCCAAUUGUCCAGCAUUGACUCGCCGCGCAGCUCCACCACAACCUCCGCUAGCAGACGCAGCGACUCGCUGAGCUCGCACUCGUCCGGCCGACUCUGGCGGCGACCUCCGGAGGGCCGUGACUGGGCGGUGUCCACCCCUCGGCCUGCUCUCCAACGAACUGCCCAUUUCGGACAAGUCGCACGAGCCAGCCUACGAAACCUCCGACAAUAACAGAAAGUGGCAGAAAAGGCGUCGCCGAAGGGGAGGAAGCGGCCGCGACGCCGGUGGCGACACACGAGCUGCCGUGGGACAUGCCGAAACACAAAAAAUUGAACGUGAACCUGGGCUGCUCCGCCCUGAGCCCCAGGGGCGACGACGUUGACGUCAGCAUCCCCCUCGAGCGGCAAGGGUGGUUGCACGAAGCCAUCACGCGCGUCAAGGCUGAGGCCGAACUGCGACUGCACCCUGAGGGCAGCUACCUCGACAGGCACAGCGACCAACCCCGAUUAAGGCAAUUAUUUAAUCAGUAAAUGACGCCUUCUAUUAUUCGGGUGAGUUGCUGGACAAAAAUAGCGUCCUCUGGUCCGGCGGAGACCUCCAACGACGGCGAAAAAGGGCAAAACGUGCGUGCGUCCACGUCGAGAAGCAGGCCAACGAGAAGCUGAGGGACCUACCGCUUCAUUUGCCAACUGCCUCAAUACUGUUAUUCAAAUAAAUGUUUUAUUUGUUUAAAUAAUCUA